GACGAACGCUGGCGGCGUGCUUAACACAUGCAAGUCGAACGGAAAGGCCCUGCUUUUGUGGGGUGCUCGAGUGGCGAACGGGUGAGUAACACGUGAGUAACCUGCCCUUGACUUUGGGAUAACUUCACGAAACUGGGGCUAAUACCGGAUAGGAGCUCCUGCUGCAUGGUGGGGGUUGGAAAGUUUCGGCGGUUGGGGAUGGACUCGCGGCUUAUCAGCUUGUUGGUGGGGUAGUGGCUUACCAAGGCUUUGACGGGUAGCCGGCCUGAGAGGGUGACCGGCCACAUUGGGACUGAGAUACGGCCCAGACUCCUACGGGAGGCAGCAGUGGGGAAUAUUGCACGGUGGGCGGGAGCCUGAUGCAGCAACGCCGCGUGCGGGAUGACGGCCUUCGGGUUGUAAACCGCUUUCGCCUGGGACGAAGCGUGAGUGACGGUAAUGGGUAAAGAAGCACCGGCUAACUACGUG
This 468-nucleotide ribosomal RNA is filed under the name uncultured bacterium. RNAcentral describes it as "partial 16S ribosomal RNA". It matches the Rfam family "Bacterial small subunit ribosomal RNA", at positions 28 to 507 of the family's 1533-position model. The record is from RNAcentral.